Molecule: long non-coding RNA, 6144 nt
Filed under: Lactuca sativa (garden lettuce)
Lineage: Eukaryota; Viridiplantae; Streptophyta; Magnoliopsida; Asterales; Asteraceae
Description: long non-coding RNA (LSAT_LNC005451)
Source: RNAcentral
ACAACAUCAUCCAUUGCAUUAUAAGUAAAGUUUUAUACAUGUGUGUUCUUUGUAUGUAAUUAAGACACCAAAAAUAUACAAUCAAAAUAAAAGACGAGACUUGACUGCUCCGUCUUCUCAAAACCUGGCCUCCGUACCUGUCUACUGGCGACCUGAGAAUACAAGUUAUUUUGAAAGCGAGUAUCAGCUUUAAAGCUGGUGAGUUCAUAAGUAUAUAAGUGUCAUUGCUUUGUUUGUGAAAACCUGCUAUGAAUGCCAUGAAAACCCUUAAGUGAAAAUGUUGAGGUAAGUAUGAAAUCCCUAGAAAAACCCUUAUUUUCUAUAAGUAUGAAUUGUAGUCUUCUACCAAGACUCGAAUGUUUUGUAUAAAUGAAGUGUAGUCUUCUACCAAGACUCGAAUGUUUUGUAUGAAUGAAGUGUAGUCUUCUACCAAGACUCGAAUGUUUUGUAUGAAUGAAGUGUAGUCUUCUACCAAGACUCGAAUGUUUUGUAUGAAUGAAGUGUAGUCUUCUACCAAGACUCGAAUGUUUUGUAUGAAUGAAGUGUAGUCUUCUACCAAGACUCGAAUGUUUUGUAUGUAUGAAGUGUAGUCUUCUACCAAGACUCGAAUGUUUUGUAUGAAUGAAGUGUAGUCUUCUACCAAGACUCGAAUGUUUUGUAUGAAUGAUGAUAGUUUUUCCUUUGUGUAGACUAGUACUAAAAGUGCUAGGUCUAACUCAUCGUUUAUGUGAAUGUGUCACAGAAUAAAGUAAACAGGAAAAAUAUAAUAUUGUAAGUGUUGUCACUGGGUACUAGGACCAACACUACAUCGCAUGAAGCGAAAGAUAGACCCUAAGGAACAUCCGAAGAGUGUCCCCUCAUCCUCUGUAGCAGCAGCAGGAUGGAAGGAGGGUUAGUCCCUGCAUCGAUCUCUUGACGUAGAUCGUCAACCUAAUGAUCCUCCGAAGAUUCACAUCUCGUCCACUGUUGCAACAGCGGGCGGAGGGAUAGUUAGUCCCGUCACUGACCACAAAUCAAGUGACUACCUUAGACAUCCGUAGACGUCAUCGAUCACUGGUGCUAAUCAGUGAGAUUCGGAAUGGUAAGUCCCGCCGAAACAUCCCAUUGAACGGGGAUAGGAAAGACAAUUUAUACAGUAAAUACUAAUAAAUCAUCCUCUUAGAUCUAAGUUCAAGUAUCCAAGGUAAGUAAGUACAGAGUAAUGUACCUAUGAAGAAGUGUCCCUGUAUAGAAUUCAUGUAGGUGUGUUUAUGUAACAAGUAAGUAUAUGUAAACAUAUUCAUGUAUCAUAUAAUCCUAAGUACGUGUACUCAUGUAUCAUGUAAGGCAUUAAUAUAGACUCAUGAAUGAACUGACUCUUGUUUGAUAUUCUCUGACUAUCCCUAUGAUAGUUAACUGGAAAGUAUGUUGUUGUUCAAGUAGGUUUAUGCAAGGUAUCUAGGAGCUUUGAACAAUAAUAUAAAGUGACUUGAAGUCAUUAUACAAUUCAAAACUAAUACUUCUGUUGUCCAAGUAUUUUAAGAUAGAAAACCAUUUCACGUGACUUCUUUUGAAAUAUGUGAAAUCUACUGAGUGAAAACAUAGUUAUAAAAUACAUGAAACUGAUUUAAUAACAUGUUUGUUUCUACUUGUGUUUCCCCCCCCCCAUUAAAGCAUUUAAAAUCCUUUAAAACAUUGAUUACGGGGUAUGAACUCACCUGUAGUUGGUGAUUGGAAUGAACUGAACGGUAUCGGAUUGCUAGGUGUCAAGCGAGGACUUGUGCACACACUACGAUCCUAAUGAACAUAUAAUCACACAUAUAUGCACUCAAUUAGACACAAAAGACUAAUUGAUAAUGUUUAAGACAUCCUAGACAUAGAUAACACUUUAUGUAAGUGUUUUAAGCCAUAAGGACUUCAUCUAAGCUAUUGUGGGACAGGGUACUUGAGUUUAGGGUUUCCAAAGGACCCUACAAGAGAGUUUAAUCUCCUUAAUCCAUCACACAUGGAGUUUACGGUUGUAAACUCUUGAGUUUACGGCCGUAAACUCCCAAACAUGUGUGUUUGGUGUGUUUUGAAGUCCAAUAUGCUUUCUAGAAUUAUUCUAACCUAGUGGCUAUGUUCUUGGAAGGGUUUAAGGCUUAGAAGUACUCCAAAUAGGAGUUUACGGCCUAAAGCACAUUUCCCCUUGGAGUUUACGGCCGUAAACUCCCUUGGGGUGAUUCCUUGGUUGCUUUCAAGCCUCUUGUAAUAGUGGGAUGUGUUCUAGACUUUUAAUCCUAGCAUAUGAAGGCAUUAGGCACCACUUAGUGCCCUUUUUAGGAGUUUACGGCCCAAGAACCAUGUCUUGGCCGUAAACUCACUUGUUUAAGUGUUAUUGUAUUCACCGCCAUUAUCGGUUUGAAAAGCUUGGAUUUUAACACAGAACUGGGUUAAAACAUAUUGAUAAAAGUGUUGAAAUUUUCCAUUCACAUCAGACUUUUUACGCAAAGGAUACACCCACAAAAAAUGAGAGAAGCUAUCUAAGAAAAUAACAUAAUAUUUGAUUCCACUCAAACUAGUAAUCGGGGAUGUCCAAACAUCGGAAUGAAUAAUUUGGAAAGGAAAUUCAGCAACAAAAUGAGACAUUUGAAAUGGUAAUCUAACAUGUUUUCCUAACUGACACGACUAACAUAAACUAUUUUUGGUUUUGUUGACACGAGGAAUUAAAGAACGAGAAACUAAAUGCUGAAACACAUGAUGACCAGGAUGACCGAGUCUUUGAUGCCAAAGCUACGGUCCAAAAGAGAGGAGAGCUUGAGCAAAAGGCUUCGUGACCGGAUAGAGAUCGCCGGUACUGUCACAUCGUAGGAGGGUGCGUUUGGUCUGAAAAUCAUGAACAGAAAAACCAAACUCAUCAAACUCAAUAGAACAUUUGUUGUCACGGGCAAGACAACGAACAGACACAAGAUUUUUAAUGAUAUCGGGAGUUAUUAACACACUAUUUAAACGUAAAGGACGGAAAGAGUAUGACAUAGGAAGAAAAGAGUCACCCGUGGCUUUUACCGGGAUGCGGGACCCAUUACCAACAUAGACAGAGGAAGUAGGCAAAUUAUUUUUAACAGAACUUAGGAUACCUUGGUUCGUGUGUAGAUGAGCGGUGGCGCCGGUGUCCAUAUACCAAUCGGCAUGGGUGGGGUCAUUCAAAGUCAUAGUGUUAAAGCUUUGAGGAAGAGUCGUGGCCUGAUCCGAAGGGGCUUGUUGUGCCAAGUGGAAGGCUUGGUGAGCAGGUGGAGCGGGCCAUAAUGGUUGUUGGCGAUUUGGGCCAGGAGAAAAAGAGGAGCGUUGGUGGGCUUGAGCUCCUUGCGGUGUGGGCAGCAACCCAUUUGAGCCAUACGGUGGUCCGUUAACCACAAAUUGGUGAGAUGAGAUAUUAUUUGGACCAAGAGAGCAUGGCAUUGGACCCCAGGGGGUAUGUAUAAUUAAUUGUUGACCAUUUAAAUGUUGACCAAAACCACUUGAAAAACUUUGUUUAUGUCCGUACAUCCACCCCCACGUUGAAACCUACCUCCUCUAUUAAAUCUUCCACCGGUCCUACCACCACCACGUGAUUGAUUAGAAAAAUUAUUUCUAUAAUUUUGAGAUUGAUUAACAUUCCCAGUGGCUUGAACCGAAAGAGCAGUUGGAGAAGAGGGAUGAUCGGUGUGUGUAACAGAAACGGGCUUGGAUGCAUUGACCUUCAUGAGUUUUUCUUCAAUGGUAAGGGUGGAACGGACCUCCGCAAAUGUUGGAAACGACUUGCUGUUGCGGAUUAGAAGGGAGAGAUUGUCAUAUUUAGUAGGUAAACCAUUGAGUGUGUGUAUGAUCAGAUUUCGAUCAGUAAGUUUGGCUCCUAGAUUCUCAAGCAUAUCUGCCAGUUUAGACACACGGUUGAGAUACUCAAGCAUGGAGGAGUCCCCCAUUGAUAAGUUCCUGAUUUCAGUGUCUAGCUCCAUGAGUCGGUGGUCUUUGUUAUCGUAAAAAAGAUUUUCAAGGGUGAUCCAUACGUCAUAUGCUGUGGUAUUUUUCUUUAUAAUGGAAUUGAGUAAGGGUUGUGCAAGAGUACCGUAAAUCCAAGCUUUCACAAUAGCAUCAAUUUUCACACCUUUUGCGAUUCUCAUGGUAUUCAGCUUCGUUUUUCAUGUCCUCAUACAUCCCAACAGAAUGGCAAAUCAGAACGCAUGCUACGCACCAUCUAUAAUGUCAUACGCACCCUUCUCUUUCAUGCUCAUGUUCCACCAAAAUACUGGGUUGAAGCAUUACACAUGGCAAUUCACCUUAUAAAUAUUCUACCCUCCACCACUCUCCACAACAUUUCCCCAUUUCAAAAACUAUUUAACCAAACACCCAAGUAUGAUCAUUUACGAGUUUUUGAAUGCCUCUGUUUCCCCCAUAUAGUCACUCCUCAUAAACUAUCCCCUCGCACCACACCAUGUGUCUUUUUGGGAUCAAGAUAAGUACAUUAUGGGCUAUAAUACUAAUAUUUUGGGCCUAAAUACAAACAAUAAUAAUAUAGCUAGCACAUUUCAGUCUAUAUGUUUUAUUGUUUUCAAAAUUAUUUAUUUAAAAUGACAAAGUUAACGAUAAUAUAAUAAUAUUUUUUUUAUAAUGAUAGAUAUCAAUAAUGUGAUCAUUCUACUUUAGAUAAGUUUUAAAGGCCCUAAGAACAUAUAAGUUUGGCAUAAGUGCCAUAGAGGUAGCCCAACUUUAAACACUUUAAAUAACACAUAUUAUUCUAUAGAUAAAAUAUAUUUCCAAAAAAUAAACAUUCAUUUUCUUCUGGAAUUAACAAAACGGGUGAGAUGACUCCAACAUGAGUCAUAAGCAGAUGAUUGAGGAAUGAUGAAAUGCAUAUGUACAUGUACUUGGCCUCAUUUGCAAGCACUAAACCAUUGUAUUUUUUAAUGAUAUUUUAUUAUUAUUUCUUUUUUAUUUUCACCUUUAUGGUGUUUUGAAGUCUUUAUUUUUUAUUUUUUUUUAUCUUUGCAAUCUGAUGGCUAACAACCCUCAACAAUAUAACAACUUUCAUUACUAUUGUCUCAGAUAUAGACAAGAUAAAUUAAAGUGGAAGAUUGGUAUUAGUUACUUAGUUGAGGCUUUCAAUCAUGGGUGAAUGUUGUGUUGUUGAUUAUAAACAAACCUAAUAAAGAGUUUAAUUCCUACCUUUUACUUCUUCGGUUCAAAGUUUAUGCUAUUAGUAAGGUUGUGGUGAGAGUUUUCUUAUCUUCUACCUAACAAAAUUUUUGGAAGAUUAUAUUGGAAACGGUUAGCAACUGUUUUUGGAACAUUUCAUUGAGCAUUUGGCGGGUAAUAUAUGAAAGCUAAAAAAAAUAUGCCACCUAAACUUUAUACAAGACGACAAAGUUUAGAAGCCAACUUCAAAUUGAUCCUAAUUUGGGCUUUUUAAGCAGGUAUGUAUUUGGGUUUGGCUAAAACCUUUUUUAACAUGACAGCUACAUAGUUUUCCACUAAAUUCAUUCCACGACACAGUUGAAAUUGAGAUAUGAAUGUUCAGUUUCUUACAUCUAGAGUAUAUGAGAAAGAAAAGAAAAGUAACUCUGUAACUUUGAAUGAAAAGAAAAUAACUCAAACAUUUACAUAGUUAAUCGUUAAAUUAGUGUAGCAGAAUAUGGAAAUCUACCCCAAACAAUAAACCAAACUGCAUAGAAAAUAAAAGCAAGAGAACUUACCAGAUGACAUGUAGCAGCCGGAAGUAAAGGAGUGGGGAAAUGUAUGAGUGUUUCCACAGUUAUUGUUCAAUUUUAUAGAAGAGAUGUGACCACCUGUCGAUUAUACACGAAGUCGAAGACCAAUCGACUGUUGAGUCGAUUUUUAGCAAAAUUAAGGUCGUGAAGACCGGCGGAAGGGCGUCGGCAGGCGAAAGGCAAUCAGCGGGCGGCGGUCGGUGACUCUGUGUCGACGAAGCUGAUGAUGGGAAAUUGCCAUCAAUCAAUGCCAAUUUCAAUGCGUGGUGACGAAGAAGAAGGGAGAGGUUGUGGGAUUAAAAAAUUGAAGCGACAGUCGUUGAAAAGCCAAUCAGCCGAUGACCAUCCCACCAGCAGCCGGCUAAAAAUAUUAGCCAAUCAUUCCACAGCUCCAAACCAACACCAAACAGAAAAGAGAAAAGUGGUUGGCUUAGCUGAAAAC